Molecule: ribosomal RNA, 494 nt
Filed under: uncultured bacterium
Lineage: Bacteria
Description: bacterial SSU rRNA
Rfam family: Bacterial small subunit ribosomal RNA
Source: RNAcentral
AAAUGAAUUGACGGGGGCCCGCACAAGCGGAGGAACAUGUGGUUUAAUUCGAUGAUACGCGAGGAACCUUACCCGGGCUCGAACGGUGCAUGCAUAUACGAGAGAUUGUAUAUUCCUUUGGGACAUGUAUCGAGGUGCUGCAUGGUUGUCGUCAGCUCGUGCCGUGAGGUGUCGGCUUAAGUGCCAUAACGAGCGCAACCCUUGUCAUUAGUUGCCAUCAGGUAGUGCUGGGGACUUUAAUGAGACUGCCACCGUAAGGUGUGAGGAAGGGGGGGAUGACGUCAAAUCAGCACGGCCCUUAUGUCCGGGGCGACACACGUGUUACAAUGGGAGGUACAGAGGGCAGCCAUCCGGCGACGGAGCGCUAAUCUCCAAAACCUUUCUCAGUUCGGAUUGGAGUCUGCAACUCGACUUCAUGAAGGUGGAUUCGCUAGUAAUCGCGCAUCAGCCACGGCGCGGUGAAUACGUUCCCGGGCCUUGCACACACCGCCCGU